GGCUUACCAUGCAGUCGAGGGGCAGCAUGAAUAUUGGCUUGCCAAUAUUUGAUGGCGACCGGCGCACGGGUGAGUAACACGUAUCCAACCUUCCGGUUACUCGGGGAUAGGCUUUCGAAAGAAAGAUUAAUACCCGAUGUUGUGUAUCUUUCUCCUGAAAGAUACGCCAAAGGAUUCCGGUAACCGAUGGGGAUGCGUUCCAUUAGGCAGUUGGCGGGGUAACGGCCCACCAAACCUUCGAUGGAUAGGGGUUCUGAGAGGAAGGUCCCCCACAUUGGAACUGAGACACGGUCCAAACUCCUACGGGAGGCAGCAGUGAGGAAUAUUGGUCAAUGGACGGAAGUCUGAACCAGCCAAGUAGCGUGAAGGAUGACUGCCCUCUGGGUUGUAAACUUCUUUUAUACGGGAAUAACAUGAGGUACGCGUACCUUAUUGCAUGUACCGUUAUGAAUAAGCAUCGGCUAACUCCGUGCCAGCAGCCGCGGUAAUACGGAGGAUGCGAGCGUUAUCCGGAUUUAUUGGGUUUAAAGGGAGCGUAGGUGGGAUAUUAAGUCAGCUGUGAAAGUUUGGGGCUCAACCUUAAAAUUGCAGUUGAUACUGGUUUCCUUGAGUACGGUACAGGUGGGCGGAAUUCGUGGUGUAGCGGUGAAAUGCUUAGAUAUCACGAAGAACUCCGAUCGCGAAGGCAGCUCACCGGGCCGGAACUGACACUGAUGCUCGAAAGUGCGGGUAUCAAACAGGAUUAGAUACCCUGGUAGUCCGCACAGUAAACGAUGAAUACUCGCUGUUUGCGAUACACAGUAAGCGGCCAAGCGAAAGCGUUAAGUAUUCCACCUGGGGAGUACGCCGGCAACGGUGAAACUCAAAGGAAUUGACGGGGGCCCCGCACAAGCGGAGGAACAUGUGGUUUAAUUCGAUGAUACGCGAGGAACCUUACCCGGGCUUAAAUUGCGCUGGCUUUUACCGGAAACGGUAUUUUCUUCGGACCAGCGUGAAGGUGCUGCAUGGUUGUCGUCAGCUCGUGCCGUGAGGUGUCGGCUUAAGUGCCAUAACGAGCGCAACCCUUAUCUUUAGUUACUAACAGUUUUGCUGAGGACUCUAAAGAGACUGCCGUCGUAAGAUGCGAGGAAGGUGGGGAUGACGUCAAAUCAGCACGGCCCUUACGUCCGGGGCUACACACGUGUUACAAUGGGGAGCACAGCAGGUUGCUACACGGCGACGUGAUGCCAAUCCGUAAAACUCCUCUCAGUUCGGAUCGAAGUCUGCAACCCGACUUCGUGAAGCUGGAUUCGCUAGUAAUCGCGCAUCAGCCACGGCGCGGUGAAUACGUUCCCGGGCCUUGUACACACCGCCCGUCAAGCCAUGAAAGCCGGGGGUACCUGAAGUACGAACCGCGAGGAUCUCCUAGGUAACCUGUC
This 1418-nucleotide ribosomal RNA is filed under the name bacterium NLAE-zl-P515. RNAcentral's name for it is "bacterial SSU rRNA". It matches the Rfam family "Bacterial small subunit ribosomal RNA". The record is from RNAcentral.